Molecule: ribosomal RNA, 263 nt
Filed under: uncultured bacterium
Lineage: Bacteria
Description: partial 16S ribosomal RNA
Rfam family: Bacterial small subunit ribosomal RNA
Source: RNAcentral
UACGUAGGUGGCGAGCGUUGUCCGGAAUUACUGGGCGUAAAGGGCGCGUAGGCGGCUUUUUAAGUCAGAUGUGAAAACCCGAGGCUUAACUUCGGGAGUGCAUUUGAAACUGAAGGGCUUGAGUGCAGGAGAGGUAAGUGGAAUUCCUAGUGUAGCGGUGAAAUGCGUAGAUAUUAGGAGGAACACCAGUGGCGAAGGCGACUUACUGGACUGUAACUGACGCUGAGGCGCGAAAGCGUGGGGAGCAAACAGGAUUAGAUACC